Molecule: ribosomal RNA, 840 nt
Filed under: Triticum aestivum (bread wheat)
Lineage: Eukaryota; Viridiplantae; Streptophyta; Magnoliopsida; Poales; Poaceae
Description: partial small subunit ribosomal RNA
Source: RNAcentral
AUGGCUGGCAGAGCAACCUCGUCCGACGACCCUGACGACGGCUGUACGAUUGAAGAGAAGAGCGGCGGCGCGGAAGCGGUGGCGGCGGCGGCGUCGUCGUCGAUGCCUCUGCCUCUGCCUCUGCCUCCGCGCCGGCCCAGAGUAGCCUUCCUCGCCAGCGGGGGUCCCGCGGACGGCGUACGACGCGCCGACGUCAUGGAGUACUACACGCAUCGCGAUGGAUCCAUCUACAGAUGCACUGAUUACUUGUCCAAACUUUACCGUGUCCGCGAUACCAGCGAGACUAGGAUGGAGCCAAUGAUGAGGUCGGAGCCAUCAGACUCUUGCUCGCCGAACUGGAGGGCUUGUGAAAGACAUACCCAUUGCACCAUGAUGCAAAUAUUUUCGCUCAAGCUGGCAUAUCCUCCUUGUGAUGGUGACCCAGUUCAGGUGUACGGAUUCAUGGCUGUCCGUGACACUCGGGACCAUCUUCGUAACUACAUCUUCAACCGCACAAGAGACGACCCUUUCAUCGUGGAACACGAGGACGGAUUUAUACAGUUGUCCGGAUCCAAGAGAGGCAUCUGGUGGUAUGACAAGCAGCUGGUUGAGUUCGACAUGAGGAUCAAGAGAGAGGAGGACGAAGCAGACGAUCUGCAGCUCGUCGAUGGCGGCGUCUGGUUCUACGACGGCUGCUCGCCACACGCCAGAGUGCUCACGCAACGCAUCGACGGUGACUAUGGCUCGGUGGACAUAAGCUACGCGCUCCUGCAGCUAGCGAUGGAGGCCACGGUGCAGAUUGCGGUGUCGGAGCUGGACAGAGACAUAAGCCUUGCUUGUCAGAGCGUUUUACGUCAGUGA